Molecule: ribosomal RNA, 406 nt
Filed under: uncultured bacterium
Lineage: Bacteria
Description: partial 16S ribosomal RNA
Rfam family: Bacterial small subunit ribosomal RNA
Source: RNAcentral
AUUGAACGCUGGCGGCAGGCCUAACACAUGCAAGUCGAACGAGUGGCGGACGGGUGAGUAAUGUCUGGGAAACUGACUGAUGGAGGGGGAUAACUACUGGAAACGGUAGCUAAUACCGCAUACCAUCGGAUGUGCCCAGAUGGGAUUAGCUAGUAGGUGGGGUAUCGGCUCACCUAGGCGACGUGCCCUAGCUGGUCUGAGAGGCUGACCAGCCAAACUGGAACUGAGACAAGGUCCAGACUCCUACGGGAGGCAGCAGUGGGGAAUAUUGCACAAUUGGCGCAAGCCUGAUGCAGCAAUGCCGCGUGUAUGAAGAAGGCCUUCGGGUUGUAAAGCACUGUCAGCGGGGAGGCGUUACCCGCAGAGGAAGCACCGGCUAACUCCGUGCCAGCAGCCGCGGUAAUUC